Molecule: ribosomal RNA, 278 nt
Filed under: uncultured bacterium
Lineage: Bacteria
Description: partial 16S ribosomal RNA
Rfam family: Bacterial small subunit ribosomal RNA
Source: RNAcentral
AGUCCCUACGGGGGGCAGCAGUGGGGAAUAUUGCACAAUGGGGGAAACCCUGAUGCAGCGACGCCGCGUGAGUGAAGAAGUAUUUCGGUAUGUAAAGCUCUAUCAGCAGGGAAGAUAAUGACGGUACCUGACUAAGAAGCCCCGGCUAACUACGUGCCAGCAGCCGCGGUAAUACGUAGGGAGCAAGCGUUAUCCGGAAUUAUUGGGUGUAAAGGGUGCGUAGACGGGACAGCAAGUUAGUUGUGAAAGCCCUCGGCUUAACUGAGGAACUGCAACUA